GACAACCGGGCCCUGAUGGAGCUGUGUCUGCAGCAGCGCUCUGCGCACACGGCUCUGCCCAGAGAGAGGAGCCAAAGGAGAUGUGGCCUUUGGAAGAGGAGGAGAGUCUACUUCUCCCCUCAAAGGUGUCUCUCAGGCCCCAGCCCCGCUCUGGGCUAGCGGCACGUGGGGGGGAAUGCAUGACCAGUGCCCAGAGCAGGCACUGGGACGUUCCCGACCAUAGCUCUGCUAAAGCCCCUCAGUUUUAGCUGUUGUUUUUAGGAAAGGGUUUACUUAGAAGUUGUAGUGUUUCAAGUUUAAGAAAGGUGAUGGGUUUUUGACAAUGGAGUCCUAGUAGUUAGGCAAAUGGGUCCUUCAUUAGUUGCAGUUUGAAGAGUCUUAAAGUUCAAUAAAGCUCUGGCUUCCCAUACAUUGCCGUGGUCUUUUGCUGUUCCACACAAGACGGGAUGCAGCGAUGCAUGGGUUUGCACGGGAGCUCCACACCAGCACUCAUUCAUCCACAUACUGCUACUUCCAAAAGACCUUGCUUUGGUUUAGAAAAUGAGACAUGCUUAUAGACAUUCUCAGAGGAAGAGAAAGGAAAGCCCUCCGAGGAAGCCUUGGAUGAGAACCAAGAGUUUUUUCCAAAACCAAUGUGGUACCAGCAAGUGGAGAUCGCCGCAUUUGGAAUUCACAGAUAUCUGGGAAUGUCUUGAAGUGGGUGGAACUCCAGGUUUUACAACUGCUGAGGAGAACAUCUCAAAGCCUAAGCUUUGAGCAGGUCCUCCUCCUGCAUCGGGACUUCUCAGCUCUAGUCUCCCAGGAAAAAAUGGCGCAGAACCAGGAUUCACAUACUGAUUUGUACAGUCAGCACACAGCUCCCAUCCUCUGCUCCUCCCUGUGCUAAUGGUAAUCGAGCAAGAGUUGAAGCAACCUUGGUGUCACUCACCACCCCAGCUAGAACCAGCUCCUGGCUGCAGAGAUCUUCUGAAGCCAGGGUAACACAGGUGGAAGACUUCACUGCCUGGAGGAACACCGCUACCAUCAGACAGAUGUUCCUCCUUCAAGCAUGCAGUGAAAUAAAUCCUGUCAGAAGUAGUCCACGUGCAUUCUUCAGGAUGUUUAGAGGCAUCUGUCAGGUUUUUUUUCUGGCAAGCAUCAAGUGACCAAGUUGCAGCUGAAGAAACGCUUCAAGAAGCAAGCAACAGAUGUAGCUGACACCUUGAGAGAGCAUCCUUGACUGCUACCAAGUUUGUAGGCUUCUUGUUCAAAAUACAACUCAUUGAGUGAUCCUUUUGCAAGUCCUCUGCAACUGGAUAGUUCAGACUGACAAAAAUUUGAAAGCAGAAAAAAGAAAGAUUUCAAAUGACCAAAUGCCAGUGGCAACACAGGAUUCCUUCUCCUCAAGUUUGGGCACAAUUUAUUUGGCAAGUGACUGUGUAGCAUCAUAGAACAAUUAAGUUUGAAGAAGACCUCAGAGAAGAUUGGGUCCAACUGCUAAUCCAGCACUGCCAUGUUCACCAGGAGCAUACAAUGAUAAAAACAUCCCCAUCUUUUAAGGGGAUGAAGCCAGCAUGGAAUGAACAGCAGAUUUCAGUGCUCAAGGAAAGGCAUAGCCAGGCAAGAAUUUUGGCAAGCAAAGAAUACAAUAACUCCAGGUUCUAAAAAUUUAAGGAGUUUUAUAGUAUGACUUAGCUAAAACUAAGAACCUUAAUGCUCACUGCAUUUUCAUUGUUAUUAUUAGCUGAAAUGACAGAAACAGUGGGUGCAUUCUCCAGAAGGACUCAUUAGCUGACACAAGGGUAAAACACAACUGCAGCUGAAACUUCCACUUGAAGAAACAGUACUGGUUAUAUAAAACACCCAGGCACCUAUAAGGGGGUCCACUUUAAGAAUGCUUGGUCUAAAAGUGAAGAUUUCUAUCCGUGGUGUUCUCCAUGCUUUCAGACAACUGCAGUUUCCUUUAAUGAAGAAAAGCUUCCUCUCACCUCCUGCUAAAAACAUCCCCAAAGAUAUGUUAAUUUUUCUUUAAUGUAUUAUCUUUUCCAUCACCACAGCUGUCUUGUCUGCCUUUUUCUCAAGGACUGAUGCAAUUGCAAAUACUUUCCUGCAUCCCAUGAUAGAUUUUAUUAAUGACAUCAAACGGUUUCAUGCUUUGCCUCGUUAUUAAGUUCUGUGCUGGUAGCGGAUAUUGCAUUCCUUUGUGCAAGUUCUGUAAUUUUUCUGCGUUUUGAUAAGGCCAUUAAUCACAACACAACUAUGCUGAUCCAGACCAUGCUGGUGCCCAAGACAACACUACAAUAACCACUCUUUAAUAACCAUUCUCCCUGGCCUAACACCUGUAGAGAUUUUCUCUGCUUAGGUAGUAGUCUUUUUAAUAAAUAUGGGAGAACAUGAGGACUAAACUAACAUGACUGUUUCAGUAAAAUCACCUCAAAUAAUUGGAAUAGGGCUGGCCUUAUGAACUCAGUUCAUUAUGUGGAAUUUGACCUCAAAUCCUUGUGACUUCACUGCUAGUUGAAAACAUUCAACAUCUGUCAAUAUUCAGACUUAAAUGAUGUAAAGUACUUGAAAAUUCAUAGUUAAAAAGGAAUAUAAAUAGCACUGAAAGCUUUGUUCCUCAGUAGAGUGACACUGAAAACCUUCUGCUGACUGCAAGCAUUAGGUCUUGCAUUUGCUAACCAAAAUCUUGGCUUCUUUCAAAAUAGCUGCUGACAGGUCAACAUCUAAAGAAAUCACCCUGACAAAGAACACAAUUGAGCAGCAUUUAGUAGGCUGCUAGCCUAAUUUCUUUUUUAAUUUUUUAGGUUUUGCACCAUUCUGUCUGGGUACUGAGAAUUACUGAGACAUGAACUUCAAAAUUUUGUUUUCCAUGACCCCACAGAGGUCACAUGCAUGCCUCCAUAUGCACAUCCAUGCCUCAUGCACAUCCAUUCAUACGUACAGCACACACUGUGUUACAUAUGAACCUCAAAAAAAAUGAGGACUGUAGUAUUGUGGAGGAAGAAAGGCACAUACUGAAUCCAUUUCCUUCUUGUUGCCAAGGUCUGCUUCCUUUGCAGCACCUACAGCCACCUGCUUUAUUUGGGAUGCCUGAAGUACAGAGGUUAACUAUCCCAGGAUAAAGCACACUCAGCACUUCAGAGGAUUAAAGCCCAGCAGAUGUUAACUGCAGCAGGGUACAAAAGGAGCCCCUUGCAUUUCCCCUGCACACAGCCAGCCUACUGCAAGAGACUGAGCAGGGCAGUGGAGCUCCUGGCAGUCUGACUCCUUCCCUGAGCCCACUAAGUGUUUAACAUGCUGCGUCUGAGCAAGUCUUUGAUUUAGUAGCUGCCCUCUGCAGCAGCCAACAGCAAAUAACCCAGAGAGAGCAUGUGUGGAACACAGAGGUUUUCUUCCUCCACAAUAUUCUUGCAGCCUACAGAGAUUUUAGGGUCAGCCGAGUUCCCGAGUCAAAGGCUGUGUUCCAGUGUCCUACAACCCUGACUGAAUCUCCCAGAAAUACAGGGAAUUGUUAAAGCAACCUGGAAGGUAGACAUGCCCCAAACCUGGACAAAUGAACAGAGGAACAUGCACAGAGUGGUUUUCCUCCUUAGUUCCAUUUCUUUUUUCCAACCUUCCACCAUUUGAUGCCUCUGGCUCUGUUAAAGGACAGUCAGAAGAAAAGUCUGACUGACCACCUCAGUCACCUCUCUUCCAUUUUAGAUUAUCUAAUUAUCCCUUGUUCAGAGGACAGGGUCUAGGGCAGACACAUGUGGCUGAAUGGAAGAACUGCCUACUUCAGGCCAUGCAUGCAGCUCUUUUUCUAGAGCUAGCACCUGUCUAACCCAACAAGCAGUGAGCUCAGGAGGGCUCCUGGCAGACAGUUCAGCUCUGAGUGGACAAUGCAUGGGAGCCAGAGCACAGGAGAGGGUGAGACUGUGUUGUGCUGAGCAGCAAUAAAAGCCACUCAGCUUCUUUGGAACUCUGCAGACAGGACUGCUCUGUAAUGUUUCCUCAUGUUUUCCUAUGAAGAAAACAAGCUCACCCCAUGCAUGGGUGGGUAUAAAUCACAGGUGAUGUCAGGGGCUGCCUUACAAAUAAAUCUAAUGGUUGACCUUUUUGGCUGUGAAAAAGUCUGGGUUUACAGGUACAGAGUCAGCUAUGGUUUUGCAGCAAGAAAAAAAGUGCACUCAUCAUGUUCAUCUAUCACACAAGCCUGUAACAGUCAAGUGAUUUUAGGACCCUCUUAUGGAAUAUUACAGCUUACUGUGCUUGGAAACAGGCAAUAUAAUUUCCCAAGUUUCAACAAAUUCUAUUAGUUACCCCACAUUUAAUUUUUCUUCAAGAAACUUGCUAAUACCAUCUCAUUUCCGAAGCCUCCAGAUAGCCAGCUUUGGUUUGUGAAAGGAGGAAGAAAGCAUGUUUGUUUUGCUUUGUUGUACAACAAAGUUUACUCUUAAACUGCUUUUUAACUAUUACUAGCAUUCCCAUAUAAUAGUGUUAAACACCUAGUGUUUAACAGUACAGCAGUAGAAACAGAGCUUCUUCCUGGCUCUCUGUUGGCUGUGAUUCACUUCCCAGGCAGCCCAAAGUACAUUAGCUGUGUGACUGAAAACAGGAUUAGGUGUUCUGCCCAUAAACCAAUAAAAGCAUGUCCUUCAUGCAGUAUUUCAUAAAGCUCUUACUGGUAAAGUGCAGGUGACACUAUGAUACUAUUAAGUUACACUAAGAGCAGGGGACCCAAAAGAGAGGGACAGGAGUCACCUGGAACUUGAUGCCACAGGAGUGGAUAUAACACACCAAGGAAGAAUUCUGAUCCAAGCAUCCAUACUUUUUGCAUGAAACUUUCACUUCUAAUAGUGAAACUAUUAGAAUGUAAGCCUAUAUAUAAUUGGAUAUGGUAACUGGAAAACAGACUUAAAAGAUGGGAUGUGCAAAUGUCCCAGAAAUACAGGAAAUUAUUACAGUAGCCUGGAAUGCAGAGAAGGCCCAGCCCUUGACAACUGCUAGGUUAACCAGAAUCAAAACAUGUUCUAUAUUGUUAUUCCUCUGGAAUGUUACCCUUGCUGAGCCCUCACACAUAUUGGAAAUCUGCCCAUCAGUUAUGGAGUUAAUGCUUUCAUAACAGCAACAACAUCUAAAAGAAGAGAGAAAGCAAACCCUAAGCAUAUCUUUUAUUUAGAGCAGUGUGUUAGUGAUAGCAAAGCACUCUUCCUGGAAGUCAAAUCGCCAAAAACUGCACCAAAUCAAGCAGAGACUACAAUGACUGAUCCUCCUCUCACUUCCCUUUCAGAAUAAUAAAAUCUGUGUUGUUUAGAACCAUUUCUUAGAUUUGAGAAAAGGAAGGUUAAGAACAGAUGUCAGAACCCUCUUCAGUUGUGAGACCCCAUCCCCAAACCCACGCAAUCCAUGAAUAAACUCAAGAGGAUCAUGCAGUCCCAGAACAUACUUUUGUGAAAAUGAGCCAAAUUUAUCUGAGCAUAAGCUAGAAUUAGAAAAAUAGCAGAUGGCAAAUUGCAGCACCACUGAAAUUCCAACAGCUUGUUUUGAAAUGCUAAUUCUUAAAAUAAGGCUUUAGAGUUGAAAUAGAAUUCUCUAGAGAUCCAGAAAACUUGGUUCAGACACAGGAACUCAGAUUAUUGUCAGAAAUUGAGUGGACAUUAUUAGCCAGCUGCAGUUUUCUAUAUUCUCCUUGCAUCAGAGGGCUGUUCUAGGGGUUCCUCUGGCAGUCAUAAAUUGGAACUUUUAUUUUUAAGGUAUUCUCACUUCUGCCAGGCUUGAAAGAACUCCUUACAUCCUCCUGCUGUCAUUCAGCCCUGAAGUUGGUUGUACUUCAGAUGCAGUAACUUCAUAACCUUGUUACCUCUCUGCUGUGGGUCCUUACAUUGGGGAGCAAAUUCCCUCACAGAGACUAAGGUGCUUUAUUUUCCCUCUUAGGUCAUAGCUACAUUAAUUAAAAGGAAAAGGACUAAAAUCCUUGGGGUUAGUGUCCUUGGCAGACUGAAUGAAGCCAAAUUCCCUAUAGGCUUCCUGCUUAUGCUGAACCACUGAUUCACACUGCACCCAGUUUUUUUGCUUUCCUGAGAGAAACAAACCAGUUUUGGGAGUGAGGGGAAGAACCUCCCUUUCCAUACCUUUCUUCUCUCCUAAGCCUGUUCAAGAAUUAAAAGCAAACAUAACAGAUGUUCUUUUGUCCUCCAGGAAAUGCUUUUCCCCCUAUACUACCACCAGACAAAUCCAGUAUACUCCAAAAGCCACCCUGGGCACACUGCUGUUCCCACGCCCUUGUGGAAGGACAAGCAACACAGGAAAGCCUUGCUUUGAAGCAGCAAGCCAGGGCACCUCAUGGCUCAGAGGAAAUGAAGCACUUGUGUUAUCAAUCCCUCCCAAAGCAGCUUGCUCACAGCUCCAGGGGAAGAAGAACUCAGGGAAUGAAAGGCAGGAGCCGGAGGCAGGAGCUCAGGCCGGUUUGCCAGGAACACAGAGCCUCGCCCUGCUGCCCCUCACACAUGGAAAAAUCCUGGCUACCAGUGAACCAAGAACAGAAUUUAAAAGCAAAACAACUCCCCUCUGGGACUGAUCUCACCACCCCAUAAUUCAUCCUUCACCUACCAGCAACUUCCCUGGUGGUGCCCCUGCCAUCUCUCCUAGGAAACACGUGUAGCUCCGUAUUCUGGGUCAAAAACAUUCCCCAAAGCAACACCUCCAGCAACCAUCUUUCCCAAGGCCACACUUCCUUUUGGAGCAAAACCAAGAAGCAGCUGAGCCCAGCUCUUCUUCCAGAAGGUUCUGGCCAGAUGGGCUCAGCCCUUGGCCCAGCUGCCGGCGCUCCCUGACACAGGUGCUGGCACUCAGCUGGAUGACUCCAAUCAGGCACAGCUUGCAAUUUAAUGAGUUGCAAGGGAAAGCAAAGCAAAUACCAAGUUGUUUAAUAAGGUGAUUUUUUUCUCAUGGGCAGUUGUGGAGGCCAGAGCUGUGAGCACCCCACAAAUGGUGCUGUAGAGACCACAGAGCCUGCCUGUGGGGACUCAGCAACAUGGUAGCACUGCUUCUGACUUCCAGGAGAGUUUUCAGGUUUUCCUCCUCGAGUUUCCUGCUGUUCUAGUCCCAUACCAGACUCUAUAAAUAAUUGUCUGUGUAUUUCUCUUUUUUGUUUCACUGUAGAGGUGGAUUUAUCAUAGUCAGUAUUUCUUAAGGCACAGCUGUUUCAGCUGACAGUGAUCAAGGCUAAUAUUGAAGUCAGGUCACAAUUUACAUUACAAACACUGGUUUCUGGAAUCUUACUACCCUUGCAUAAAAAUGUCCUGCAAGCAGAAAUAAAGCUUUGUGGAAAAAAAAAAAUUAGAAGAACUAAAAUAUUAAAAAACAAAAACAGUGACACAGUUUUGCACCUACUAACAGUGGUUUUAUGAACCUGUUUUCACUUUUCACCAGUCAGCAAUCUGACCCUUUAAAGCUCAUAUUUUCUCAGUGCAAAACAAAGUAGAUGCAUGCAGAUGAUGUCCAAGUGCCCAUUAGAAAGGAUUGGCAGCUGCAGCCAAAGCCUCGUGGCCACCAGGACAGGACAGUUUGUACUGCUUAAACAAAUGUGCUAAUGAAGGUUUGCUUUAGAAAAAAUGAGAAACAUUUGAGCACCCUGAACAUUAAAUCCUCAUUUAAUGAUGGGAAGUGUUGUGUUUCUUUCCAACACCCAGGCACAGUGCCACAGCUUCAACAAGCUGCUUAAUUUUCUCUCUGAUGCCUAAAUCUAUGUGAUGGAUAUAUGGUGCCAUAUCACCCUCAGCUGGGAAUUGCCUGAACUUUAUUGUUUUCUGUCACAGUGUGUAUGCUUUUCCAAUGUUUCAGUGAUUGUAAAAGAUCAGUAAAGAAGGACUACUUUGAAAGUCUUUGAAAAGGAAAAAAAAAUCCAUGAGGGAAAUUCAAGCAACAGUAAACCUGAGACCUGUUGUGCAGCACAAAACAUUUAAUGAGAAGCAGAAGCAGCCUUUCAACUGUGACAAAUAAUGAGAGAUGCCACUGCAGGACCACUGCUGGAAGACAUUUAAGAGAGCAUCAGAAGAGUGAGUGCUCAGUUUUUGGGAAGCAUUUUGUUCCCAGGGUCCCAUCCUUUUGGAUCAAUAGAACAUUUAUUGUUGGCAGUGAUUAUGAGUUACCACUGAUGCUGUUAUAUGGACACCUUAAAGGCAUUUUCAUCAGUCUUUCCUUCUAAAUUAAAGUUGGUGUGCAAAGGCUGUGGUCCAAAUUCAACAGGAACAUAAACAGUACAGCACUUAUAUAUUAAUGAUGAACUGGGAUCUUUGGGGCAAUUUCAUCCCAUCCUUAAGGGAGGCCAGUGCUGGCCCACGGGGUAGUGCCACAAGACAUUGUGCCUGCAAGACAUUGCCACCCCUGCUCUAGUUCUAAGAUCAACAUUUGUCAACUGACCUGGCAGAAACUUUUUAUUUGGUCAAAUUUCAUCACAAUGCAGUGCAAAUGGCAGAAGUAGCCUACAGGAGAUGAGCGGGAUAGUAAAUAUUUCAACUGGAGAAUGCAGAAAACUUGAAACUGAAUAUUCUUGAUCCUACUUGCUAACACACUCUCCUGGGAGACUCAGGUUCUGCCUUCAAACUGGAUGGACAAGUGAAUUAAGAGUGAAAAAAGCCUGUGCUCCUCAGAGUCUGGUGCUGCCCACCUCCCUUGUGCUUCUGGAGGGCUGUGCCACUGGGAAAAACAGGAAAAUAUAAAAUUUUGCAUCAUCUUUGACUUGGUAGGAGUGCCUUGGUGUUUAAGCUACAAGAGUUUUUCACAUGGACAAUGGCUGAAGCUUCAGUGAGUCCUGACUGGGACUGGGUUGGGUGGCAGCUCCAGUCUCACAGGAGAAAGCUCUCAUGAAAAGCCUCUGAGUGCACGAGCCUAUUCUCUCAGAUGCUGAAUUCCUUCUGUUUUAUCUCUUGCUGUCCUCAAGGUUAUCCAGCUCCUCUUUAUCAUACUGCAAUUCUCUUGUACAGUAACAAUGUUUCCCAGCUGUAUUCCAACAGGGGGUUUCAUUAGCAAACUCUUCAUUAUUUCAGAGAGGUCAUUAAUGAAAGUCUCACGUGUUUGGCCCCAGGCAGAUUCCUUGAAGAUCUCUAGUAGUCAAACCCCCUCUAGCCUCAUAACUCCUCCUAAGGAGGUGCCAGCCUCACUUUACAUCCUCAAAUCCUGAAGCUUCCUCAUAAUACCCAGUGUAUGAUUUAUCUUAAUCUGCUAAGCACUGAAUUAAUAUUGCAUUGUAACAUUAUAAUGAGCCACUUGCAGAAAGGUGUGGAUUUCAUAAAAUGCAGCAUUUCUAUCCUAAUGCAAGCAGGAAAAAUAUGAUGGCCUAAAAUAACAACUUACGAGAGGACUAGAAGUGAAAACAUUUGUAUUAUAUCAGAAUCAGACAAAACAGUAUGAGCUGACCUGAAAUAUAGUGGUCCCAGUGAAAGCCACACACUGUGAUCCCAGCAACAUCAAAGAGGCAGCAAAAGGCUCAUUAUUAAUUUACCAGGAAAUAGUAAAGAAAGGAAAUUGUUGGGUUUUUUUCCAAGAAGCAGAAAUCCUGAUGUGUCAUACACUUUUGUUAAAAUACAACAAUAGAUGAACAUUAAUUAACUCGUAACAUGCUUUAAUCAAAGGGAAUGCUUCAUUAUUGCCCAAAAUAAAACAAAAGGCCUCUUUAGACUUGUGUGGCAUGCCAGAUAAUUAGCACAGCCACCCACCAACUUGGCCAGCUGAAGAAAGGAAUAUUCACCAGCCACAACCACCAAUUUUGGUGGGUUUUUUUUGGGAGGGAACGACCAUUUUUGGUCCAGUCACCACCUGGUUCUUACAGCAUGGAAAAGAGUUCUGAUAGCAGAGUGAUCACUGACAUGGCUUGCCUGGAGCCCCUGGAAUGAGUAAGGCACCAGAACCCUUAGUGAGUGACAAUUAUCAAAAGUAUGGGGUACACUUAAUUGAACCAACUUAAUUGAACAGCUACAGGAGUCGGCAGGGAUGCUCAGUUCUUGUGCUGCUUCCUGAUGCUGUUAGAUCAGGAUCUUCUUUCCUCCCCGUUCUCUUCAACUCCCUCAUCAUUGUUCACUGACCUACGUUACAGUGCACAAUCUGUUUCCUCUGUCCAGUCCAGAAUUCUGUCACAUCCACCUUGGCACCAAGCCUUAUUUCUUGCUCCUUGUGCCAUCUGACCAGUUUCCUUUCUCUGUUUUGUUUCAUUUUUAAACUCCUGGCAAUUUCUUAAAUUCCUUUAUUCUAUACUAUACUUAACAUUAUGUUAGCUUGAUAAAAUACAGUUAACUUGUAGUCACAAGUCUUCUUUCUAAUCUGAUGUCUCAAAGGUAUCUGGCAAGUUUAUUUGGGGCAUGCAAUCCUGAAAAACACUCUUUAUGUUGGAUAAAUCAAUAAGUAACCAAAGCCAAACACAGCUGUAUGCCAAAAUUACAUUGAUCUGUUAUUUCAUAUACUAUAAAAACAUAUAUGCACCUGAGUAUAAGAAAAAACCAUGCAAAUUACUAUUCAAACAUUUUUAAAAGCUAAAACAUUAUGAACAAUACAGUACUGUUAGGCUAAGAUUUUUAAAACAUAUUUAUAUAUUACUUGUAAGAGCAAUUUACAAGGGUAUGAAAAGUACAGCCAAGAAUUAAUGAAUUAGGAGAUACCAGGAUUCAAACUGCACAAAUUCAUUAUUAUCUACAACUUUACUGCAUGCACAGGUACUAUUUCUCCUACCUGAGCUGUGCUUUCUUCAGAUUGCUCUCUUAUUGACCUGCUCACCACUAUUUGAUUUUGUUCUUACUCGUUCACUGGGCAAAAGCCAGCCCUGUACUCAGCACACACUGUUCCAUUACUGCUUUAAAGGAGCAAUAUUGGCCUUCAGUGGGCGUGAAUCUUGCCCCCUCUCCUCCCACAUGAAGCUGAUGUCACAGCAGAGGGCACGUCUGUGCCGGGCAGUGGAGAAGGGCAAAUGUGGCUGUUCAGUACCUCCCUGGCAAACACAGAUCCUGCUGCAGAGGGUAACAAAAGCAGGUUCUGAGAUGCCUCUCCCACCACCUGAAGCCAAGCAUCCUGGUUCUCCCAUUUCAUGCUUCCAGCACUGGCAAGUUGUUCACCAAACCAUGUACAGUGGCAUAUUUAUGAUGUGAAAGGUAUCUGGUAAAAAUCACCUAUUCAACAGAAAGUACAGCAUUCCAAAAUGUCCAGGCACCUCCCAGAGCUGCUCAGUCACAUGGUAACUGCCAUGGGCUGGAUGAACACAAGGAAUGAAUAAAUUCAUGAUCCACAUCUGCACCAUUUGUGGUUUCAAGAUAUGUUGCAAUAUAAAAAGGAUUUCCAUAGCAGCCAGAUACAAUCAAUGGAAACAAGUAAAGCAGAGCUGCAGAAAGUACUCCGAAAGAGGGGUCAGAGUUAAUGGUCUCAGCUUCAUGUCAGAGAAAUGUCAUAAAGCCUCCAUCACACCUGCAGCUGGCAGUGCUAUAAACUGAGAAUCAGAAUGGGGAAAGGGUAAACAAAACACCGAUUGCACUGCCUGGUAUGACAAGCGCAUUACUCCUCACAGGAUUAUUCCACAGAUUCCAUGACAACAAAAAGAACUAAGAUAUUUAUAACUUUGAAAGCAAGCCUCUGUCUUAAUGCCACAGUUUGCAUUCACAGGCCAAGGACAAUUCCAAAAAGCUUUGUGCAGAGGCACCUCAGGUGUUUAAGGGAUUAGGAGUGCUUUGAUUCAUGUGUGAGCUGCAAUGGGACUGUCAGAACCCAGGACACCCCUCUGGGUGCCCUGGAUGACACGUGCCCCUGGCAGGGGCUCAGAGUCCUGGCAGGAAGCCGAAGACACUUGGGAUUUUGAUCUUAACCCAUGGAGCAAAUUACCAACCUUGUAUGAAGAAUCACAAGUCACUAAAGUUUAAGUAGCAUAGUAGUAGUUGUCACAGGGUGAAAGGUGGAAUUUUGGGAUUUUUGGAACGGGGGUUUGGAGUCCCAAGAUGGAGGAAUUUGGGUGUUCCCUGUCCUUUCUUCUUCCUAGCCUCCAUCUUCUUGGUGAUGCUGGCACAUUUAGAUUGGUUUAGAGUAGAAGUAGACAGUCUAACAUAGGUGAUAGGUAUUGGUAAAAAUUUGUAAAUAAAUACAUGUAGUUUUUAAUAUAAA
Passer domesticus (house sparrow) is the source of this 12099-nucleotide long non-coding RNA. RefSeq lists it as uncharacterized. The transcript has 7 exons. The record is from RefSeq and is a predicted model, not a curated record. NCBI's taxonomy places the organism in Eukaryota, Metazoa, Chordata, Aves, Passeriformes, Passeridae.